UAACUUUCACUACUUUUAGCUUGGCUUGACUUUACUGCCGUCCUAAAGGAAGAAAAGAAAAAAAACAAGUAAAAGACGAAAGGAGGAUAUGAUAGCUUCCUCUUUAUGUUCGAAAUAACAACUUUCUUUUAUAUAGAAAUAUUGUAUAUAGAGAAUUGUUUUCUUUCUUUUUUCCUUCGUUGAGACCGGGAAUGGUAAAAGAAAUCCAAGAGCAUGUGUUAGAGGGGUUCUUUGCUUUGUCACCGCUAAAGCUUGAGGUUUUUCCAAAAGACCACCCCCAAGAGGCUUUUUCUCACAGCUUUUCUCUGCCCGACUUACCGGAUUUUGAUUUGGCUGUUCGCCCCGAACAAGGGGACGAUCUCGUUUUAAUCGCUCUCGCGCGUAUCGUUCAUUUUGCGCAUUCUUCUGUCUUUCUAGAGCAGUCGUUUAGGUUU
This 434-nucleotide long non-coding RNA is filed under the name Durio zibethinus. RNAcentral's name for it is "long non-coding RNA (DZIB_LNC000579)". Lineage: Eukaryota; Viridiplantae; Streptophyta; Magnoliopsida; Malvales; Malvaceae. The record is from RNAcentral.